GUCAGCACCCCGCUCUGAAGAGACGGGGCUUCAUGCCUCCAACUUUAGAUAGCUCGUACCCGCCUCAGCCUAACGGCUACGUUUUCUGGAUCAUAAUACCCACGAAUGCGACGCUAGUUUGUGGCUCUAUU
Molecule: small RNA, 131 nt
Filed under: Planktothrix serta PCC 8927
Lineage: Bacteria; Bacillati; Cyanobacteriota; Cyanophyceae; Oscillatoriales; Microcoleaceae
Description: HEARO
Rfam family: HNH endonuclease-associated RNA and ORF (HEARO) RNA
Source: RNAcentral